ACUCCUACGGGAGGCAGCAGUGGGGAAUCUUGCGCAAUGGGCGAAAGCCUGACGCAGCAACGCCGCGUGAGCGAAGAAGGCCUUCGGGUUGUAAAGCUCUGUCAGGGGGAAAGAAGGCACCUGGGUUAAUAGCCCAAGGGCUGACGGUACCCCCAAAGGAAGCCACGGCUAACUACGUGCCAGCAACCGCGGUAAUACGUAGGUGGCGAGCGUUGUCCGGAAUCAUUGGGCGUAAAGAGCGCGUAGGUGGCUUGUCAGGUCCGAUGUGAAAACCUGGGGCUCAACUCCAGGCCUGCAUCGGAAACCGGCUUGCUAGAGUCUGGGAGAGGAGAGUGGAAUUCCUGGUGUAGCGGUGAAAUGCGUAGAUAUCAGGAGGAACACCGGUAGCGAAGGCGGCUCUCUGGAACAGUACUGACGCUGAGGCGCGAAAGCUAGGGGAGCGAACAGGAUUAGAUACCCUGGUAGUC
Molecule: ribosomal RNA, 467 nt
Filed under: uncultured bacterium
Lineage: Bacteria
Description: bacterial SSU rRNA
Rfam family: Bacterial small subunit ribosomal RNA
Source: RNAcentral